UCCCUGGAGGACCUAGUGGUUAGGCCACAGUGCUCUCACUGCUGUGGCCUGGGUUCGAUUCCUGGCCAGGGAA
Pangasianodon gigas (Mekong giant catfish) is the source of this 73-nucleotide non-coding RNA. The record is from the annotation of a GenBank genome assembly. Lineage: Eukaryota; Metazoa; Chordata; Actinopteri; Siluriformes; Pangasiidae.